AAAUUGAAGAGUUUGAUCAUGGCUCAGAUUGAACGCUGGCGGCAGGCCUAACACAUGCAAGUCGAACGGUAACAGGAAGCAGCUUGCUGCUUUGCUGACGAGUGGCGGACGGGUGAGUAAUGUCUGGGAAACUGCCUGAUGGAGGGGGAUAACUACUGGAAACGGUAGCUAAUACCGCAUAACGUCGCAAGACCAAAGAGGGGGACCUUCGGGCCUCUUGCCAUC
RNAcentral lists this ribosomal RNA (225 nucleotides) under Escherichia coli. RNAcentral describes it as "partial 16S ribosomal RNA". It matches the Rfam family "Bacterial small subunit ribosomal RNA", at positions 1 to 222 of the family's 1533-position model. RNAcentral also lists the same sequence under 3 other names. Lineage: Bacteria; Pseudomonadati; Pseudomonadota; Gammaproteobacteria; Enterobacterales; Enterobacteriaceae. The record is from RNAcentral.